RNAcentral lists this ribosomal RNA (195 nucleotides) under uncultured Bifidobacterium sp. RNAcentral describes it as "partial 16S ribosomal RNA". It matches the Rfam family "Bacterial small subunit ribosomal RNA", at positions 264 to 438 of the family's 1533-position model. The record is from RNAcentral. Lineage: Bacteria; Bacillati; Actinomycetota; Actinomycetes; Bifidobacteriales; Bifidobacteriaceae.
CGCUCUAGAACUAGUGGAUCCCCCGGGCUGCAGCCCAAUGUGGAAUUCGCCCUUCGAAAGCCGCGCGCGGCGGGCGGGGCGGGGGCACGGGGGGCCUACGGGAGGCAGCAGUGGGGAAUAUUGCACAAUGGGCGCAAGCCUGAUGCAGCGACGCCGCGUGAGGGAUGGAGGCCUUCGGGUUGUAAACCUCUUUUG